Molecule: long non-coding RNA, 792 nt
Filed under: Equus asinus (donkey)
Lineage: Eukaryota; Metazoa; Chordata; Mammalia; Perissodactyla; Equidae
Description: lncRNA (ENSEASG00005037512.1)
Source: RNAcentral
AACAUGACUAACAAUAAUGUAAAACUGAAAUUUCACAAGGUUGUAAACUAUCAUAAUCUUAAUUUUAAAAAAACUCAAAAAAAAAAAAAGGUUGAUUGGACACUUACCACAUGACCCAGCAAUUCUACUAGUAGGUAACCUACCCGAGAGGAAUGAAAACAUAUGUCUGUGCAAAGACUUGUACAUAAAUAUUCACAGCAAGACUAUUAUAAGAGCCAAAAUGGGAAGCAAUUAAAUGUUCAUCAGUUGAUGAAUGGAUAAGCAGUUGUGGUCCAUCCAUGGACUACUUCUCAGCAAUACAGAAGAGCAAACUACUGACACACACAGUCACUUGGAUGAACCUCAAGAACACUAUAUAAAUUUCCUUGAAGAGGUGUUACCUUUAAAUGUUGCAUGUCCCUUGGGCAAUCACUCCCUCUCUCUCCAUGUGGUUCAGCCAAGAGUGUCAAUCACAGCAUAUUCAUCAACACCCCACCCCCACCUCCGGCUUCCUGCAAAGGAUUAUGACUCAAGCUGGUCAACCAGAGUGUGCCCACAUUGGAUUAAGGGAUGUCAGGAAAGAUAUCUUCCCCCUAAACUAGGCAAACUCAGGAUGAGAAGUUGAGCUACUGGGGGCCAAAGAAAGCCGUUUGCCACAGGAGAAGAUAAAGCGUGAAAUAGGCAGAGCUAGAGAUGAUGAGGGAGACAAUGAACUGGUGGCAUCAUUUGGGCCUGUGUAAAUAACAGUCCUGAUACUUGUUCUAGCCCCGGACUUCCCAUAUGUGUGAACCAAUAAAUUACAUUUUUUGCUUA